RNAcentral lists this ribosomal RNA (137 nucleotides) under uncultured bacterium. RNAcentral's name for it is "partial 16S ribosomal RNA". It matches the Rfam family "Bacterial small subunit ribosomal RNA", at positions 355 to 510 of the family's 1533-position model. The record is from RNAcentral.
UGGGGAAUAUUGCACAAUGGGCGAAAGCCUGAUGCAGCAACGCCGCGUGAGCGAUGAAGGCCUUCGGGUCGUAAAGCUCUGUCCUCAGGAAGAUAAUGACGGUACUUGAGGAGGAAGCCCCGGCUAACUACGUGCCA